UGAGUAACCUGCCCUUAACUCUGGGAUAAGCCUGGGAAACUGGGUCUAAUACCGGAUAUGACUCCUCAUCGCAUGGUGGGGGGUGGAAAGCUUUAUUGUGGUUUUGGAUGGACUCGCGGCCUACCAGCUUGUUGGUGAGGUAAUGGCUCACCAAGGCGACGACGGGUAGCCGGCCUGAGAGGGUGACCGGCCACACUGGGACUGAGACACGGCCCAGACCUCCGUACGGGAGGCAG
RNAcentral lists this ribosomal RNA (236 nucleotides) under uncultured bacterium. Its description in RNAcentral is "partial 16S ribosomal RNA". It matches the Rfam family "Bacterial small subunit ribosomal RNA", at positions 118 to 351 of the family's 1533-position model. The record is from RNAcentral.